This 496-nucleotide ribosomal RNA is filed under the name uncultured bacterium. RNAcentral's name for it is "partial 16S ribosomal RNA". It matches the Rfam family "Bacterial small subunit ribosomal RNA", at positions 28 to 507 of the family's 1533-position model. The record is from RNAcentral.
GAUGAACGCUGGCGGCGUGCCUAAUACAUGCAAGUCGAGCGAACAGACGAGGAGCUUGCUCCUCUGACGUUAGCGGCGGACGGGUGAGUAACACGUGGAUAACCUACCUAUAAGACUGGGAUAACUUCGGGAAACCGGAGCUAAUACCGGAUAAUAUAUUGAACCGCAUGGUUCAAUAGUGAAAGACGGUUUUGCUGUCACUUAUAGAUGGAUCCGCGCCGCAUUAGCUAGUUGGUAAGGUAACGGCUUACCAAGGCAACGAUGCGUAGCCGACCUGAGAGGGUGAUCGGCCACACUGGAACUGAGACACGGUCCAGACUCCUACGGGAGGCAGCAGUAGGGAAUCUUCCGCAAUGGGCGAAAGCUUGACGGAGCAACGCCGCGUGAGUGAUGAAGGUCUUCGGAUCGUAAACUCUGUUAUUAGGGAAGAACAAAUGUGUAAGUAACUAUGCACGUCUUGACGGUACCUAAUCAGAAAGCCACGGCUAACUACGUG